GAUGAACGCUGGCGGCGUGCUUAACACAUGCAAGUCGAACGGAAAGGCCCUGCUUGCAGGGUACUCGGGUGGCGAACGGGUGAGUAACACGUUUGUGAUCUUCCCUGUACUUUGGGAUAAGCCUCUGAUACUGGGUCUAAUACCGAAUAUUUCAAUUUUUUGUAUGCGAUUGUGGAAAUCUUUUGCUUUUUGGGGUGAGCUCGCGACCUAUCAGCUUGUUGGUGGGGUAAUGGCCUACCAAGGCGUCGACGGGUAGCCGUCCUGAGACGGUGUACGGCCACGUUGGCAAGGAGAGACUGGACAGAUUCACACGGGGAGCAGCAGGGGGGAAUAUUGCACAAUGCGCGGAAGACUGAUGCAGGGAAGCGGGGUGGGGGAUGACGGCCUUCGGGUAGUAACCCACUUUCGCAACAGACGAAGCCUUUUGGUGACGGGAGGUAGAGAAGAAGCACCGACUAAAUAAGUG
This 466-nucleotide ribosomal RNA is filed under the name uncultured bacterium. Its description in RNAcentral is "partial 16S ribosomal RNA". It matches the Rfam family "Bacterial small subunit ribosomal RNA", at positions 28 to 507 of the family's 1533-position model. The record is from RNAcentral.